Sorex araneus (European shrew) is the source of this 212-nucleotide small nucleolar RNA. RefSeq annotates it as small nucleolar RNA U3. The transcript has a single exon. Lineage: Eukaryota; Metazoa; Chordata; Mammalia; Eulipotyphla; Soricidae. The record is from RefSeq and is a predicted model, not a curated record.
AAGCCUAUACUUUCAGGAAUCAUUUCUAUAGUUCAUUACCAGAGAAGCUUCUCUGAUUGUGUAGAGCAUCAAAACCUCUAGAAGGAGUCAGAGCUUCCUCUCCUGAGCACGAAGCCGGCUGAAGGUGUUUCUUUUGCAACUGCCUCUACCAUUUAUCCUUAUUCUUCUCUUUCCUUGGAAGAGUGAGAGGGAAAGAAUGCAGUCUGAGCGGU